GGCUGAGUAGCUCAGCGGUAGAGCAGGAGAAUCAUAAUCUCUUGGUCGGGGGUUCAAAUCCCUCCUCAGCCACCA
Molecule: transfer RNA, 75 nt
Filed under: Micavibrio aeruginosavorus
Lineage: Bacteria; Pseudomonadati; Bdellovibrionota; Bdellovibrionia; Bdellovibrionales; Pseudobdellovibrionaceae
Description: tRNA-Met
Rfam family: tRNA
About the family: Transfer RNA (tRNA) molecules are approximately 80 nucleotides in length. Their secondary structure includes four short double-helical elements and three loops (D, anti-codon, and T loops).
Source: RNAcentral